This 388-nucleotide ribosomal RNA is filed under the name uncultured bacterium. RNAcentral's name for it is "bacterial SSU rRNA". It matches the Rfam family "Bacterial small subunit ribosomal RNA", at positions 30 to 419 of the family's 1533-position model. The record is from RNAcentral.
AUUGAACGCUGGCGGCAUGCCUUACACAUGCAAGUCGAACGGCAGCGGACCUUCGGGUGCCGGCGAGUGGCGAACGGGUGAGUAAUGCAUCGGAACGUGCCAUUGAGUGGGGGGAUAACGUAGCGAAAGUUGCGCUAAUACCGCAUAUUCUGUGAGCAGGAAAGCAGGGGACCGCAAGGCCUUGCGCUCUUUGAGCGGCCGAUGUCAGAUUAGCUAGUUGGUGAGGUAACGGCUUACCAAGGCGACGAUCUGUAGCGGGUCUGAGAGGAUGAUCCGCCACACUGGAACUGAGACACGGUCCAGACUCCUACGGGAGGCAGCAGUGGGGAAUUUUGGACAAUGGGGGCAACCCUGAUCCAGCCAUGCCGCGUGAGUGAAGAAGGCCUGG